GAUGAAGAACGUAGCGAAAUGCGAUAAGUAAUGUGAAUUGCAGAAUUCAGUGAAUCAUCGAAUCUUUGAACGCACAUUGCGCCCGCCAGUAUUCUGGCGGGCAUGCCUGUUCGAGCGUCAUUUCAACCCUCAGGCCCCCAGUGCCUGGUGUUGGGGAUCGGCCCAGCCUUCCUGUAAGGCCGCCGGCCCCGAAAUCUAGUGGCGGUCUCGCUGUAGUCCUCCUCUGCGUAGUAGCACAACCUCGCAGUUGGAACGCGGCGGUGGCCAUGCCGUUAAACACCCCACUUCUGAAAGUUGACCUCGGAUCAGGUAGGAAUACCCGCUGAACUUAAGCAUAUCAAUAAGCGGUGGA
This 352-nucleotide unclassified non-coding RNA is filed under the name soil metagenome. Its description in RNAcentral is "partial contains 5.8S ribosomal RNA, internal transcribed spacer 2, and large subunit ribosomal RNA". The stretch from base 1 to 120 matches the Rfam family "5.8S ribosomal RNA", at positions 35 to 154 of the family's 154-position model. The record is from RNAcentral.